CGCGGGAUGGAGCAGUUCGGUAGCUCGUCGGGCCCAUAACCCGAAGGUCGUUGGUUCAAAUCCAGCUCCCGCAA
This 74-nucleotide transfer RNA is filed under the name Periweissella ghanensis. RNAcentral describes it as "tRNA-Met". It matches the Rfam family "tRNA". From Rfam's summary of the family: Transfer RNA (tRNA) molecules are approximately 80 nucleotides in length. RNAcentral also lists the same sequence under 2 other names. The record is from RNAcentral. Lineage: Bacteria; Bacillati; Bacillota; Bacilli; Lactobacillales; Lactobacillaceae.